This 393-nucleotide ribosomal RNA is filed under the name uncultured bacterium. Its description in RNAcentral is "bacterial SSU rRNA". It matches the Rfam family "Bacterial small subunit ribosomal RNA", at positions 30 to 421 of the family's 1533-position model. The record is from RNAcentral.
AUUGAACGCUGGCGGCAUGCCUUACACAUGCAAGUCGAACGGCAGCACGGGAGCAAUCCUGGUGGCGAGUGGCGAACGGGUGAGUAAUGUAUCGGAACGUACCUUUCAGUGGGGGAUAACGUAGCGAAAGUUACGCUAAUACCGCAUAUUCUGUGAGCAGGAAAGCAGGGGAUCGCAAGACCUUGCGCUGAUUGAGCGGCCGAUAUCAGAUUAGCUAGUUGGUGAGGUAAAGGCUCACCAAGGCGACGAUCUGUAGCGGGUCUGAGAGGAUGAUCCGCCACACUGGAACUGAGACACGGUCCAGACUCCUACGGGAGGCAGCAGUGGGGAAUUUUGGACAAUGGGCGCAAGCCUGAUCCAGCCAUGCCGCGUGAGUGAAGAAGGCCUGUGUAG